GGUGCGGUACGCCAACGGUGAGCGACUUGUUUUAGAAACAAGUGAUUGUGGGUUCGAAUCCCACCUGCACCA
RNAcentral lists this transfer RNA (72 nucleotides) under Pirellulaceae bacterium. RNAcentral's name for it is "tRNA-Leu". It matches the Rfam family "tRNA". From Rfam's summary of the family: Transfer RNA (tRNA) molecules are approximately 80 nucleotides in length. Their secondary structure includes four short double-helical elements and three loops (D, anti-codon, and T loops). The record is from RNAcentral. Lineage: Bacteria; Pseudomonadati; Planctomycetota; Planctomycetia; Pirellulales; Pirellulaceae.